This 75-nucleotide non-coding RNA is filed under the name Fervidicola ferrireducens. RNAcentral describes it as "NiCo sequence". It matches the Rfam family "NiCo (Nickel/Cobalt) riboswitch aptamer". Lineage: Bacteria; Bacillati; Bacillota; Clostridia; Thermosediminibacterales; Thermosediminibacteraceae. The record is from Rfam by way of RNAcentral.
UAACUUCAACGAGAUCAGGCGAAAGGCCGGGCGCCUUUAUUGGCGCAGCAAGUCUAAAGGACUUGCGGGACUCAC